UGUAGUGAGCUUUUGAUUCUUCUUUCAAUCCGCGGGAAAAACAGAGCUGAAAGUCCCAUGGAAAAUCGAUCGCGCUUCUGUAUACGAUGCUAUCUCUCUUCGGAAUUUUUCAUCUCUAUCUAAGCUUUGAGUUGUUGCUGCUUGUUCGGAAUCAUCAAUGGCGGUUUCUUGAUUUGGAGGCUCGAUCAUUUACUUUAUUCAUGCGAGAAAUGUAAUCGAGAAAUCAAUAUCUGGAAUACUUGCUCAUUAUCGUUUGAAACUUUGACGCAAGCUCUGGCCGUUGUUGGUUGGCCACCUCGAAAAUGGGUGUGAAGUAAAGGCAUCGUUUAGAUUUGUCAUUUGAAUUUACAAUUGGAGAUUGGGAUUUCUCAGCAACUUUCUGAUGAGAUAUAGCACUGAGGACUUAAAUAGCACAGCAAGAGUUGGAGUACCUGUGACAUUCUUGCAUGUAAUGCAGUUGUUGCUUCAAACCAGCUGCCUCUCUUUUCCAAAACUAACAAGCGUAGAACAGAUGGUCAGCGUUACAGUAUUACUUUGGCAUAGGACUUAAACAACCAACUAUGGCUUUGCCCUUUUUGCUUCAAAGGCGUUGUCUUGUUUCUAGCAAACUUCUGGUAAUUCUAUGGUUGAGGAUCAGUGAUUAUGGUCAAUGUUUUUCUUUUUGGCUCUCUCUUUUUUGCCAUUUGGGGCUAAGGUUUGGUUCUUCGGUUGGGCAGAUUCGACCAGAAGUGCUAUUCUUACACACAAGACUACUCUUCCUCCGGAAAGCUUUGCGGGGACUACCUUAAGACAAACAACCGCCUGAGGCAGCUGCCAAGUGGUCGACAAUUUCACUCUUAAAAUCAUAAGAGAGAUAUUUCAAAUUUAUACAUGAUGGUUACUAGGGAGCGUGUAGAUCUUUUAAUCUACUAUGUAUACAUUGUUGGCCACAAUGAAUAAUUUGUGUGAAACUUUGAUUUAAGCUUUCAUGCAUGUCUAAAUUCAAACAUUGGAACAUCUGAAUAUUAUUAUAGGGAAUGACAUAUACAAUUAGGGUUAAAA
Molecule: long non-coding RNA, 1041 nt
Organism: Cucurbita maxima (winter squash)
Lineage: Eukaryota; Viridiplantae; Streptophyta; Magnoliopsida; Cucurbitales; Cucurbitaceae
Exons: 5
Source: RefSeq, a predicted model, not a curated record